AACUAAGGUUGUUCUGGGUAUAAGCUUUCAUGUGCAUGCACACUUCUUCACAUAGCUUCAGAUAACAGGUAUCUGAAGAAGUGUGCAUGCACAUGAAAGCUUAUACCAAGAACAGACUUUGUUGG
This 125-nucleotide microRNA precursor is filed under the name Podarcis lilfordi (Lilford's wall lizard). Lineage: Eukaryota; Metazoa; Chordata; Lepidosauria; Squamata; Lacertidae. The record is from RNAcentral.